Molecule: non-coding RNA, 136 nt
Organism: Hordeum vulgare subsp. vulgare (domesticated barley)
Lineage: Eukaryota; Viridiplantae; Streptophyta; Magnoliopsida; Poales; Poaceae
Source: Rfam
AAAUAACUCCCUCCGUCCCAAAAUUCUUGUCUUACAUUUCUCUAUAUACGAAUGUAUCUAGUGACAUUUUAGUAUUUAGAUACAUCCAUUUAUAGACAAACCUAAGACAAGAAUUUUGGGACGGAGGGAGUAAAUA